This is a long non-coding RNA of Salvia splendens (bonfire salvia), 2063 nucleotides long. RefSeq lists it as uncharacterized. The transcript has 11 exons. The record is from RefSeq and is a predicted model, not a curated record. NCBI's taxonomy places the organism in Eukaryota, Viridiplantae, Streptophyta, Magnoliopsida, Lamiales, Lamiaceae.
AAAGUAGUGGGUGACUUCUCGGUUAUUGCAGCUCAAUCUCUAACCAUCUCUAUCUUUCUUCAUUUACGGUGGCCACCUUCAAGCCGGGAUACAACCGCCGUAUUCCAGAAGUCGCCGCUGCCCAUUUCUCAUUUCUUGUUCAGCCUCGUCAUCUCUCCCUGCGUGGAUGAGAUGCCGGUGGAUCUGAUCGUCGAGGCUCUUCAGAUCUAUCUGAUCCGCCCUCACGAAUCCGCCGCCGGUGUGGACGUUCCCUCCACCAUUUCUCCGGAAAGCGCAGAUGCAACGUCAGUGGAGCUUACGGUGGGAACGCGCAAUAAGCGACGACCUUCAACAACGAAAAGAUCUAAGGCAAAAAUUCUCUUCCUCGUCAGAUUUUUGGCAAAUGUCCCAAAACAUUGAGAAAACGGUUGAGAAAUCGAAGGGAGUCGUGCAGCUAUUCAAAUUUCUAAAAAUGAAAAAGGAAAUGCCAUGAUUAACAGUUCAAAAUCAAAGUCAAAGCUUAAAUGGGCGAGAGAAAGAAGCAUGCCAAGAAGUUCAUCCGAUAAGCGUAUAAAACAUGUACGAAAAAGUUUGAAAGGAACAGCUAGAGAUGCUGAGGACAACAGUAACACGAUUGUAAGCAAAGCGAGCCAAUAAGUCCGGAUAGUCCUAUUGAUGGGACUCCUAGACCUGCAGUUCAAUCGUCCUGCAAAGUUUUUACUGCUUCUGAUACCAGCACACAUGGUGGAUUUUCUGUCUUUCAUAAACAUGCAAAUGAGUGUCUUCCCCCAUUGAAUACGAGCCAACAGAUUCUGAGCUUCCGACACAGGAAUUGAUUGCUAGGGAUACACAUGGAAAUGAAUGGCAAUUCAAACAUAUAUUUAGAGAGGAAGAGAAUGGGGUUUUAAGAGUACAAACCGACUAAAAUUGGUGUUGUGCAUUAAAGUGUUUUCUGAGUGCAAAAGGACUAAAUUAAUGCUGUGAAGUCAAGUAAAUGAUCCCAAUAUAUUGCAAAUAGAAGUGGCAAAAAAGGCAAAUCAUUGAACAGAAAUUGUAAAAUGAGUUGCAGGAACUUCGUGAUCCAAAAUAUGAAUGAGAGAUGGCACUCAAGAUUUCACAGAUGAGGUGCAUCACAGCAAUGACAAAUACAAAAAAAAGAAAGAGAAGGAAAAGAAAAGCGGCCUCUCUCUCUUCACUAUGCAAUCAUUAUAAAGAGAAGAUAACAUUGCAAGCAUGGGCGGCUACAAUACCUACUCCUACUCCUACUCUACUGAAUCAAGACAUCACCAUAUAAAAAAAAAGGUAUGUAAUUCUUUCUUUUCGAGCUAUGUCCUGUAUCUAUAUUUGACAACAUAGUCAUAUCUAACUUACAUGAGCAUAAUGUUGAUGAGGUAUUAGAGAUUAUUAGAGUCAGAUUUCAAAUACAAUUACUACUCUUUGCAAAUAUUAAUUCUAGAAUGCUUUGCAAAUCCUAUCAUCUAUUUAUUUAAUAGGGUGUAUUAUGUCUCCAAUUUUCUUUACACAAACGAAUACAGUACUUAGUUUUUAAAAUAUAUAUACUACUUGAUAGGUUUUUCAUUUAAUAUGGUAUCUGUUCAUUUACAACAGAUUUAUAAAUUUAUAUUCUGUCCCACUCUCUCUGUCUCUUUCUCUCUCUCUCUCUUUUAUUUUUCAUGUUCUAAAAUUUUAAUUUCAUUCUCUCUUUCUUUUUCUUUUUCUUUUUCUUUUUUAUCAUGUUCUAAAAUUGUGACUAUAUUCUCUCAGUCUGGAUUUCUCUGAUGCUGCUUCAUUGAUAAUUCUAAAUAUAGGUUUUAAAUAUUAAAACUAACAUAUUAUUUAACCUUGUUCAAGGAUAAAUUGAAUUGGAAAUAGAUAAUUGCUAUUGCCUUGCAGGAAAUAUUUUUGUACAUUUAAUAGUUUGUCACCCUCCGUCUUUGUGUGAAGAUUUUUGUACAUUUAAUAGUUUGUCACCCUCCGUCUUUGUGCGUCUCUUGGCCUAUCUCUCCCUGUAUGUCUCAUGUUUCAUGAUCUAAAAUUAUGAUUUUAUUCUCAUUUUUCACAUGAAUGAAAUUGUGAUUUUAUUC